GCCUAUGCCCAUGCUACCUUGAACAAGCCCGAUCCCAUCUGAUUUUGGAAGCUAAGUAGGGUCGGGCCUGGUUAGUACUUGGAUGAGAGACCACAUAACAGGUGCUGUAGGUG
This 113-nucleotide ribosomal RNA is filed under the name Pteropus alecto (black flying fox). Lineage: Eukaryota; Metazoa; Chordata; Mammalia; Chiroptera; Pteropodidae. The record is from RNAcentral.